AAAAAAACAAGAACCUAGGUCAAAUAGAAAAUUGCAAUAAUCUUUACAGAGAUAAUAUAUAUGGAGUGUGGAUAGGUAUUGGGAUUUUGGGUGUUUUUUUUAAUGUUUUGUACUUUUCUGUGUUUUGUAAAUUUUGUACUCUUUAUAAUUAGGAAAAUUAUACGCUAUUGAAAAAUAUUGCAUAAAGUUUAGUCUUCUUUGAUGAUCUCCUCCUGGCUCCAAUUAAUUCAGACAUCCAGCUCAUCCCCUUCCCUUACUGCCUUUCUUACUCUGUACAGAUUUAUGUUUCCUCUGCACAGCUGCAGUUGGUUUUGAGUAUUUGGCAGAGUCUGUAGUUGGUGUUUAAAUAUAUUUAUGUGAAUUCUCUCUCCCUCAUCAGACGGCAUUUCCACAAGAGUAUUUUUCCUUUGUUUUCUUUAUAACUGUGCACAGUGACUUGAAAGCCCUUUUCUCAAAAUGUUAACUGAUUGAGGUAAUUGUCAAUAAUUCAGGGAGAAAAACAAACUUACUUAGAUUGAUUGAUUAUUAGCAUUAACAUUUAUUGGGAGCUAGGGCUCAAACCUUAAGAAUGGAAGGGAAUCUUCCAAGACCAGUUGGGAGUCAGAUCUUUGCCUGAGACAGCAUCAUGUAUUUAUGCAGCUAUUUCACUUACUCCUGGGACACAGAAAUACUACAUUUCCAAGGACCCUUGUGUUGAGAAGGGGUCACAUGACGAGUUCUGUACAACAGAAUGGAGGGAGGAGUGGUGUAUGCCAUUUCUAGGUCCUAAAUCACUUCAUUUGUUUCUUCAUGAAUUCCUGUUUCUCCUGCUGUCUGCUGGCUAGAUAGCCCCAAGGUGACCCUGAAGCCGCAAUACAGCAGAGCCACAAGAUGGAAAGCACCUGCAACUCUGAAUUUCUACUUAGAGAAGAACCACCCAAGAGAAUUACCUGAACAGAAACACCUGAAGGGAACCAGUUCUGAAAGAAUAUGAUGCUUGCAAUUGUAACUGCGAGACGACAAGCCUGAGGAUCAAAGUCACUAUCAGAGGACUGGAUGAGGUGGAGGGGCAGAAACAUCUUGACAGUGUGAUGGUAUCAUUGAACCACUGUUGCAACCCUGGGACCAUGUACCUCUUGAUUUCCUAUUGAAGACGCUUUCAGAUGAAUACUCCAUUACAGCCCAAAGCCUAAUUAAAUACAUCCAGUAAAACGAUGGCCUUGUGUUCCAUUAGAGCACAGAGUCAUGAAGAAACAGCCUGUAGCCUCUGGGCAGCUUAAAUUUCUGAUACUCACAGGUGAAAUUUGGCAUAUUCCUCCUGGAAAAAGUAAAAAACCAGGACUUGCUUGACCACAGUCUGAGAAUUCACUGGCUGCUGUCAGCAGAGCCUGUGGCCAUGAACGCUCUCAUCAUCACCCUCAUCAUGAGGAAGGAGCAAUCGUGGUUCUCACAAUUCAGCGCGAGAAACAAAAGGAGGGUUCUACUCCAGAUUCCACAUAAUGUUUCUUUACCUUUCUUCCUCAUUUGGAUCUUAUGUUUUCUUUGUUUCUUACCUUGACUUCAGAGAACCUCUUUUACCUUUCUAUUUUGCCAGCUCUGCUGCUACUUAAUUCUCCACUAAGGUAAAACAAUAAAAAGAAAGCUGGCUGAUUGACUCAUAGCAGUGCCAAAAAUGUUGUGUAUUGAAUGUUAGAACAUGCUCUGUUGAAUAAGCAGAAAUUUAGGAAUCCAACUCUCCCUCUCCCACAACUAUCACUGCCCCAACCUCAUACCUUUCAGUCCUACUAAGACUUCCCAGACUCUGCAUAUCUGAAAAUAAAAAUCCCAAACUACUAUCACUGAAAAUGGUAUGAAUCAAAGGCUUGGGAGAAAUUCUGCUCUAAGGAACAUAUCCAUAUUAAAAUUUGCUUUUUUCAGAAGUUCCUGUCCUGAUUUCUCUUCUUGAAGAGUUGAUUUUCAUUAUACAAAAGCAGAGAAUUAUGGUUUAUGCCAUAUUUUGUAAUUUAGUGAAUUUGAAGAUAGGUGCUUUUUUCUUUUAUGUCUAUCAGAUUUUUGAUUAAGAGUAAUAACACUCUGAGUCCAAAGCACAGAAUCAGAGUUGAUUAGUAGCCAAGAUACUCAAAUUUCAGGAUUGAAAGUAAUGUAUAGGAAAUUUGGUUUUUCUAGAAGACAAAAAUUUAGCAUUCACACCUGAAACGUGUACAAGGAUUGAAACACCUGCUAGCAAAAUGCUGUUUACAAUGCUGGGUACUCUAAAAGGUACUUCACAUGUGGAGUUGGUAUGAUUUGUGUUGUGUGGUUUUGGUUUUGUUGAUUAAAAUUUUUGUUUUGUUUUGUC
Molecule: long non-coding RNA, 2317 nt
Organism: Manis javanica (Malayan pangolin)
Lineage: Eukaryota; Metazoa; Chordata; Mammalia; Pholidota; Manidae
Source: RefSeq, a predicted model, not a curated record